CUGCUUCUCGUGGAGACAUAGGGCAGCCACCUUGGAUCCUUCUCUCUCUGCUGUCAAUCUCUUUCUCUUUCCAAUGUUUCACAUUGUAUCUCAUGAUCCUCAGCUCUUCAGCUUCUCCAGCUGUGAGGUUGUGGCUGCAGCCUGUAAAGGCAAGCAUAUCUUUCUCAUAGCGUAAGUGUAGAGCAAUGAAGGGUUCACUGUUGUUUCUUAACCGGUUGACCAAAACGUUUCCAAAAUCUUCAAUCUCCUUGGAGUAACCUAAUGCUUGGUAGUUAGCACGGCAUCUCAGCCGUUGGAUUGAUGGUGGCAAGCCAUUGUUGGCCAGGCGCGAAUCGGUGUGUGUGAAUUUUAUCACUUUAUAUUUUUUCAAUAGUGGUAGCAUCUCUCUUCUGUAGUAACUAGCCUUGGACCAAGAAACAGGAGCCUUCAGGAGAGGUUUCAUGGCUGCAUAGCGAGGAGGCAAGUACUCGAUGAUGUCAACGUCAUCUUUCAAUACGUUCAUGAAGUGUCGCCAGUCAAAAAUGUCUUUGAACGUGCUGUAAAAUUACAAAGAAACACUUGUUCAAAAACCAUAAUCUUACUCACAUUUGAGAAAGUGUUCUUGUUGUGUAGAACCUGGGGUCAGUCCAGAAAGAUUCAUGGUCGAGGAGAGGAAGAACAAGAGUUGCAUUCAUAAUCUUUGCUGCAGCAACCAUGUCACAUAUCUACAUUUUUCGGUAUAAAACAAAGGUAAGAAGAAAACAAGAGACCAAAGAUGUAAUAAAAAGCACUUGGGAGUUGGGACAUGUUUCACAUUGUAUCUCAUGAUCCUCAGCUCUUCAGCUUCUCCAGAUGUGAGGUUGUGGCUGCAGCCUGUAAAGGCAAGCAUAUCUUUCUCAUAGCGUAAGUGUAGAGCAAUGAAGGGUUCGCUGUUGUUUCUUAACCGGUUGACCAAAACGUUUCCAAAAUCUUCAAUCUCCUUGGAGUAACCUAAUGCUUGGUAGUUAGCACGGCAUCUCAGCCGUUGGAUUGAUGGUGGCAAGCCAUUGUUGGCCAGGCGCGAAUCGGUGUGUGUGAAUUUUAUCACUUUAUAUUUUUUCAAUAGUGGUAGCAUCUCUCUUCUGUAGUAACUAGCCUUGGACCAAGAAACAGGAGCCUUCAGGAGAGGUUUCAUGGCUGCAUAGCGAGGAGGCAAGUACUCGAUGAUGUCAACGUCAUCUUUCAAUACGUUCAUGAAGUGUCGCCAGUCAAAAAUAUCUUUGAACG
RNAcentral lists this long non-coding RNA (1245 nucleotides) under Brassica napus (rape). RNAcentral describes it as "long non-coding RNA (BNAP_LNC013033)". Lineage: Eukaryota; Viridiplantae; Streptophyta; Magnoliopsida; Brassicales; Brassicaceae. The record is from RNAcentral.